RNAcentral lists this non-coding RNA (24 nucleotides) under Arabidopsis thaliana (thale cress). The record is from RNAcentral. Lineage: Eukaryota; Viridiplantae; Streptophyta; Magnoliopsida; Brassicales; Brassicaceae.
CGCCAUUUCUAUUUUAUAUGUGUU